This 74-nucleotide transfer RNA is filed under the name Marmota monax (woodchuck). RNAcentral describes it as "tRNA.Ala". Lineage: Eukaryota; Metazoa; Chordata; Mammalia; Rodentia; Sciuridae. The record is from RNAcentral.
GCAGGGGAUGGAGCUCAGUGGGAGAGUGCUUGCUUAGCAUGCAUGAAGCCCUGGGUUCUAUCUCCAGCACUGCA